CUGAAACCCAGCAAGCUGAAAUCAGCAAAACAAGAUGGUCUUGCUAACUUGAGGAAGCUGUAGCAGCUGGAAGCUCCAGAGAGGAGGGGGCUCAGAGUCUGCACAUCAAUGGGGAGACAUCAUUCUGGCUGCAUUAUGAAUGGAUGGUUUGGAGGAAGAAUGUGGAUAGCUAAACAAGAAGGAGAAUAGAAAGAAACUACUCUUAAGACUAUUGCAAUAUCCAGUGUUAUCUCAGGACCAAGGAAUUAAUGGUGCAAUGUGCUUUGUUUCUGACUGCAGACUAUAAUGUUUAUUCCUAUUGGGGGCAGAGCAAGAUUUCAGUUUCUUUUCUCAGCAACAAGAAAAUACUCUGUCUGAAAUCAAGCAACUUCUGGGAAGACCAAGAGUGAUGGAAACUAGAGUUACAAAGCAAAAACCCUACAUCCUGAAUGCCCAGCCCGGUCAAUGAAAUUUUUCUGUCUCAUUUAUCAGCUAACUUGGUCCUCUUCCCCUGGGAACAAAACUGAGAAGGGUUAAGAGAUAAUGUGGAAACAAACUCCCCAGCACUUGCCUAAGAGGGCAGCUGUGUACCCAGACCUUCUUUCCUCUAUGUCAUUGUACUAGAAAGAGAGAGUUCCAUACUCUUUAAUCUGAAUAGUUGGCACUCACUUAAAAAAGAAUGCAGCCUGAUUCCUCUCUGCCCCUCUAGCUAUUUCCAGAAAGUUGUUCAUGGGAUGAAUUGGUAAGUAAAGAAUUCAGACACUGGUUCUGAUUAAGGGAUCUUAUAAAUGAUUUAUAACCUUUGGGAACAUCAAAGACAGCACUCAUAAGCCAGGCAAGCUAAGGGGUGCUCAGGAGUAAAAUGCACCUCCCCAUCUCACAAAUCCAUUGUUUUGAUGAAAGGAUAAGAGGCAGUUGGCCUGGGAAGGUGAAAAGGCAGGAAAAGAGUGGGAAGUCAGCUCCUAGGAUAAUAACCACAUCCACAGGCAUUGUCUCCUUUCACAUAUUUACAGCUUUUCUUUCUUAUCUUUCCACACCUCUAUAUUCAGUUAUGUAUGACCUACUAGCAAUUUACAGCUGCUUUAAAUGCAUACAUUUCAGGUAGGGUGUGUUGACUUAUGCCUGUAAUCCCAGCGCUUCGGGAGGCUGAGGUGGGUGGAUCACUUGAGGUCAGGAGUUCAAGAUCAGCCUGGCCAACAUGGCAAAACCCCAUCUCUACUAAAAAUACAAAAAUUAGCCAGUCUUGGUGGUGCACAGCUGUAAUCCCAGCUACUCGGGGGGCUGAGGCAGGAGAAUGGCUUGAACCCAGGAGGCAGAGGUUGCAGUGAGGUGAGAUCACACCACUGUACUCCAGUCUGGGCAACAGAAAGAGACUCCAUCUCAAACAAACAAACAAACAAAUAAAUAAAUAAAUGCAUACAUUGUAUCAGAAAUUAUCUCCCAUAUUGAUGAGUCUUCCAUGGGCAUCUAAUUUAAAUAUUUUUUUCUGAAAAGCAAAAGGUGCUCUAUUAUGUUGCUGGUGAGAGUGCAAAAUGGUAUAGCCUCUAAAGAGAUUAAUGUAACAAUAACUGUUAGAACCAUAUAUGCAAUCACCCUUUGACCUAGCAACCUCACUUCUAGGAAUUCAUCUUGAAGACAUAUCUCUCUAUAUGUAGGCAAAAUGGAAGCUAUUCAAUGUUACAUUGUUAGUAAUAGCAAGUUACUGUCUAUUUUUGUAUCUUUCAAAUACAUGUCUAUUUAUGUGAAAGGAUAAACUGUGGUUUAUCCACAAAAUGAAUUUUUAUGAAGUUGUAAAAAAGAAUGAGUGACAUGUCCAUGAACUGUCAUGGAGUGAUUUCCAGAACGUAUUUUUAACUGAAAAAAAAAAAAAAUCAAAGUGCAGAAGGGUGUAUAUGCUAUGCUACAUGUGCAUAAGAAAGAAGGAGGAAUGAGAAUAGAUAUCACAAAUUUGCUUACUUUUGUGAAAACAAAAAACAAAUACGAAAGUAGAAAGGACAUAUAGAAACUAAUGAAAAUGGUUAUCCAUUGGGUAGAAAUGGGAAUGGGUGAAAAGCUAAAAUGUUUCACAUAUUAUUUGUAAUUUGAGUUAUGCAAAUGCUGUACAUAUUGAAACAAUAAAACUGAAUUAUUAAAAAUAAAACUAAGGUUAGAAAAGCAAACUCUAAAAUUGAAUAUGAAGAUAAAAAAUGAAUCUGACUUCAUAUUAAAUUGAAUAUAAAUUCAUAUUAAAUUGAAUAUUAAAUUGAAUAUUAAAUUCAUUAAAUUGAAUAUUAAACUGAAUAUUAAAUUCAUUAAAUUGAAUAUUCAUAUUAAAUUGAAUAUUAAAUAUAGCUAUGCAAGGAGAGGAAUUAAUUCACAUACUUUUGAAAACAUUUGUUUUAUCUUAAUAGGGUCCAUUAUAAAAGAAAAAAGAACUGUAAAGAAAUAUUAAGCUGUACAUAACAGUUUAUUGCAGGCUGUAAUAUUGUUUUAAUUCUGAAACUGUUUGAUUUAUAGUAUGUGAAAUAAGUAUAUUACUAAGAGGAACCAAGGGUUUCACUGUGAGAGAUAAAGAAAUAUAAAUAUAACAUUUGAAUAGCUAAAGAAGAAACCAUGUAAUAUCAAAUUUGAAUUAAAAAUAUCAGUGUGAGUUCUUUUUAAUGUCCUUUGUUGUUGUGCAUUGAGUACAAAACUUCUGUAAAUUAAUCUUGCCAGAAAUGUUUAACCUGAACCUAAGCAUGAGAAACCAGUUAGACACAUCCAACUUGUUGGAUAUUAUACAAGACAAGUGGUCUGUUCACUUCUAAAAAAAAGUCAAUAUCAUAAAAAGCAAAACUAAAAACCAAGGAGACUACUAUAAAUUAAAGGAAAUUAAAGAAAAAUAUACAAAAAUUUACUCAAAUGCAUCAUAGAACUAAACAUAAAACUUAAAAUUAUAAGACUUUUAUAAAAAUACAGGAGAAAUUAUUUGUAACCUUUGGCUAGGAUUUCUUAGAUAUGACAUUGAAAGCAUAACCUUUAAAAGAAAAUGUUUGUAAAUUCUACUUUAUUGAAAUUAAAAAUUUCUACUAUUCAAAAGACAAUAUUACAAAAAUGAAAAUGAAAACACGAGCCAUAGAAGGGAGGAAAUAUUUACAAAACACAUAUUUGAUAAGACUUGUGUCUAUAAUAAGACGUCAAUAAUAAGAAAACAAUUUUUUUUUUUUUUGGAAGAGGUCUCUCACUUUGUGGCCCAGGCUGGAGUGCACUGGCGUUAUCAUGGCUCACUGCUGUCUUGACCUCCUCGGCUCAAGCAAUCCUCCCACUUCAGCCUCCCAAGUAGUUGGGACUACAUCACCAUGCCUGGCUAAUUUUGUUGUUGUUGUCGUUGUUUUUGUAGAGAUGGAGUUUUACCAUAU
RNAcentral lists this long non-coding RNA (3356 nucleotides) under Homo sapiens (human). Its description in RNAcentral is "non-protein coding lnc-OXCT1-1:10". The record is from RNAcentral. Lineage: Eukaryota; Metazoa; Chordata; Mammalia; Primates; Hominidae.